UUGGCUGCGGUUAAGGCGAAUCCGUCGCCGUCGUUGUCCCAACAUUAAACACUUGUUGAAAGUUAAAGGGACGCACUUUGACGCGUAAUUUAUGCGCUUAAUUUCUAAAUAACGUUCUGUUUUUUUUUAUGUGAUGGUAUUUGAGUUUUUUUUUGGUAAUUGAACUUUGAAAGAAGAUAUUGCAAUUAUUAAGAUUAUCUCCGCACUAAAGAAAAAAAAUCACAAAAUGCUCGCUAAAAUUACCAGUCAAGAUGACAGCAGGAGAGAUGCAGUAAGAUAGGAUGUCAGGAAGAAGCUAAAAACUUCGGCGUAUUGGCGGAAUGACGCUGAUUCUUUCCGUGAUUCUGACGAUUAUUUGCGCUAUAGGAAUCGCUUUUAACGGAUACACAGUUCUCGUUAUACUUCUAACUAGGCAGGUUCAUACUGCCAACAACAUUUUACUGCUACAACUUGGAGUAGUAAACAUCUUUAUUGGAAUUCUUUUUUUAAUAUUUUGUCUGCCGGGAGUAAAGGAAACAGAAUGGGCCAGGGCAGGCACCUCAUGUACAGUAAAUGGAUUUUUAUUUACUUUUUUGCAUCCCCUUGCUCUGUGGACUAUAUGUGGCCUGAACUGCGAUCGCUACUAUGCAAUCGCCUCACCGCUACAUUAUACUCAUAUUGUUAGUACAAAUAAGGUUAUUAUAGGUUUACUAAUUGGUUGGGUCAAUUCAUUCCUCUUAGCCAUUCCGCCGUUAGUCGACGCCGCUCCAUACAAGUUCCUGCCCGGUUUAGGCGCCUGCGCCCCCGACUUUAGAAGUGGUAAUGGUACCGUGUGGUACGCUUCCACAUAUACAGGGUUCACGUUUCUCAUUCCAGCUACUGUGUUUAUAUGUUGUAAUGCAAAGAUUUUAAUUAUAGCGAGAUACCACCGUCACCGAAUCGCCUCCGCCAUAUUCGAGGUGGCUCUGUCGGCGCAGGUAACCAUCACCCAUCAGCGCAAUCCGUUUUUUGUACCAACGGUAACGGCACCAUCUGCCGGUGGUCCCAAAUUCCGCGGUUCCAACCCUAUUUUGGCUGUUUUUUUACUAGUUGGAUCAUUCCUCGCCAUGUGUGUGCCAUACUAUGUUUUAAUAUUGUUCGAAGCUAUGUCUAAAGAGGUGCAAAAGUCAGAUUUUGGAUUGGCUGAAGGGAUAAAAGUUAAUUAUUUUUAUAUGGUGGCCGGAACUUUGCUGUUAUGUUCACCUGCUGUAAAUGGUUAUUUAUAUGGUCUAAAAAACAAAAGCCUAAAAAAAGCGUUUAUGAACUACUGGAGAAAAAAACAAACAAAAAGUGAAGUAAACCAUGAGAUCCAAGCGAGAACCCCGAGUACUUGUGGAUCGAGGAGACCAUCAUUGACUCCCUUUGGAAUAUUUACCAAAAACGCUGGAGUUUCCAGAAGGAUGUCCGAAACUCUUAUAGAUGUAAAUAAAUCCCUAAAAUGUCCACAGAAAAGUAAAAUUAAGAGAAUCACGUCCGAGUUCAUGUGGAGACCAUCAUCAGCAAACAAUUUAAAUAUGUCCCCUAAGGAAGAACAGCCUCCGAAACCAAUAAAACAAACUAUCAGCUGUAACACUUUAAGGGUCCCAGAAGAAAACAAUAUUAACCCAGACGACGAACCGAGAGUCUCAACAGAAAAAGACGCUACGUAUGAGUUGCCUGCAAAACCUUAUAGUCCCGGAAUACUUUUGCAGAAAAUUUUUAAAUUUGAACAAGAGAAAAUAAGUAAAAAAGGAAUAAAUUUUAGAGAGGGUGGUAGCCCGAAAAGGUUAGAAGACAUAUUUUCACAUUUUGAAUGUUUAUGUAGCAAUUGUGAAACAGGUCACCAAGAAUACUUAUAACGCGAGCGUUUUCGGAAGAAAGCGAUAAAAACUCACAAAGCAGCUCGCCGAGUCGAGAAAUAAACAAGAAACAUUCCACCUCGGCUUCGAAUUUAAUUGAAAGAAAGUGGCGGCAAAUAAAAUAUCAAGAUGAAGAUACUGAUAGCGACUGCGCAAAAUCAAAUUGCACAACGAAACCGCUGCUGGGUAGCAGCAGCUUAAGCAAUCGGUCCUCCGAAUCGUCGGAAACAUCCGGAUCUUCGGGGAAAAUUUAUAUUAAUAUUGAU
RNAcentral lists this unclassified non-coding RNA (2122 nucleotides) under Anthonomus grandis grandis. RNAcentral describes it as "tachykinin-like peptides receptor 86C". Lineage: Eukaryota; Metazoa; Arthropoda; Insecta; Coleoptera; Curculionidae. The record is from RNAcentral.